GCAAAAAAUAAAAUAUAUAUAUACAUUCAAAUAAACAAAUAAAUCUUUCUUCAAUUAAUCUUCAACUUGAACUUCAAGUUUGAAACCUGUCAAAGUAAUCAAAUAACUACACAAGUAAUCACAGUUAUUAGUCAAGGUGAGACAAUAUGCAAUUAUUUAAUGACGAAUUCUACAUAUAAAAAAACAGACAAUAGGUUACACAAAUAUGUGAAUGUGAAGACAGUAUAAAUGUUAAGAAUACUAACCGGUUAAGCAAAACAAAUUGAUUCAACUUUUAAAGUAGCAAAAUAGCGAAGAAGAACACUUGAAUAUUUACCGGAAUAUUAAUGUGUUGUUAAAGUAGCAAGAGAGCAAUGAGAGAAGGGAGAGUGAUGAGAUAAUUUGUGAUUGAAAGUGAAUGAGUGUGUGAAUUGAUGAGUUUUUUGUAUGUAUGAGCAAUGAGAGAAUGAGAAAGUUUAAGAAUAAUGUAGCAUUUGUGGUAAGAAAGUAAGAAUGAGUUAGAGAAUGUGAGUUCUUUUCAAAGAUGUCAAUGUGUAUGAAAGGAGGGGAGGGAGUCCUAUUUAUAUAGCAAAUAAGGGGGAGCACAAUAAUGGAAAUAAAAUAAAUCAAGGAGUUAAUUAUAAUACUAUUUCCUUAUUUUCAAGGAGAGCCAAAAUCAGAAAAUUAUAAGAAUAUUUCAUCACCAAAAAUAAAAUAAGUACAAAUAAUCUUUUACCUUGAAUAAGGAAGAGACAAAAUCAAAUUUUAUAUUAAAAAUCUAUUACCAAAUAUAAACAUAUAAGAAUAAAAUAUUUCCCUUAAAUAAAGAAGAGUCAAAUAUAAUUUUACCAAAAAUAAACAAGUAAGAAAUCAAUAAAUUUAUACAUAAUAAAAAAAGAUCAAUUAACUUAUUAUUAUUUUAUUUUUUAUUUUUUUUAAAUUAUUAUUAUUACUUUACCAAAUAUAUGAGCAACUAAAUUUGACAAGGAAAUAAUUUAAGGUCAAACAUUUACCUAAUAAUAAAUUACCAUAAAUAAAUAUGUAAGAAUCAAUCUAGACAAACAUUAAAGGAAAAAGAAAUCAACUCUUAUUUCUCAUUUUAAGAGAGCUAACUCAAUAACAAAUAUUUUCAGAAUGAGUAAAUAUUUUUCCAAAAAUAAACAAGUGAGAAACUUUUUCCUUAUUUUUUCAUCUUAUCACAUGAGCAAAGAUUUAUCCAUCAAAUUAAGCAUGUUCUAACAUGUAGGAACAAUCAAUCAUAAUAAAAUAACAUACUUACAAUUAUUAUCAUUCAUGAAAUCAAAUAUACUCAAAAAAAAUAAUUUUAUAAUGAUAUUGACCCAUUAUCAAAUAAUCUACCUUCAUAAGCAAGCUAAAUUCACUAAUUAACAUUUAAGGAGGGACAAUAUGCAAGAUUCUCAACCAACUUAAUGAAUUUGAGCACUAGAAAAUUAACACAAAUACAAAAAUCAAAUAAUUAUCAAUCCCAAGAGAUUAACUAUACAGAUCAAUGCAUAUUUUAAACACCAAAGUUAUAAUAAGCAUAUUAGAAUAAAAGAAAAAUAUGAUGAAACCCCAAACGGAGAGAAUUGGAUAGACAAAGUAGUAAUGGAUAAAAGAAAUACCAAAGAUGGAUCUGAAUAGAUUCAUCCAAAUUUUGCCUUCGCCGGAGGUCGAUCAUGCUGAAAAUCGGAGAAAAGAGGGGGAGGGUCGAGGUCGCCUGGCUGCUCGCUGAGGCUGUCUUGUGGCUGCUGGAACGAUGGGAGAGAGGGGCACUGCCAGUGGCUGCUGGCUGGUGGUUCCGCGCUUGCUGCUGCUGGUCGGAAAGGCUGCCUGUCGUUGUUUGAUGCAGCUGCUGGUAAAUUGCGAAAAAAUAGAAGAGAAAGGAGAAGAGGAAAGGGCGAUAAGAGACGGGAGGGGAGAGAGGAGAAGAGGAGAGAAAGGGGCGGCUGCUACCACUCGGAGGUGGCGAUUCCCACCGGAAAGAAUGGAAGGAGAGAGAGGCGGCUGGAGGUAUGGGUGAGGGAGGAGAAAAAAUGAGAAGAAGAUGGAGGAGAGGAGAGGGAAGACGACAAGAGAGAGGGGCGUCGCCGCCUCGCUUGGGGUUGAUGAUUUCCACCGGAAAGAAUGGAGAGAGAGAGGUGGGCCGGCUGGAGAGAGCAGGAUAGGUCUUUUUUUUUUGGUUUGAUCUUUUAGGGUAUUAGACUUUAGGAAGAAUAGGAGAUUAAAUCUUGACCGUAGAAUUUGAUAAGAGAUAAAGGGCUAGGAUUCGAUUUUGAAUUUAUUUUAAGAUGGACGGAUGAGAUUAAAAGAUGAUGUUUUGAAAUUAGAUUGACAAAGAUAUAGAAUGGUUAAAAUUGCAAUUAAAGUGGCUAGAAUUGAAACGAAAGAGUGGCUAUGAUUGUAAUAAAAUUUAAUUGAAGUGGCUAGAAUUGAAAGAAAUUAUGAUAGAAUAGGCUAGAAUUUAAAAUUUAAGGAAAGUGUAGGAAUUACUAUUUAAUUAAAAUACUACAUAUAUUAAUAUAUUUUUAUAUAAUUGAAAAAAUCAUUUAAACUUUAAAAUAUUUGGAAUUCAUAAGUAAUUUUAAAAUAUUUUAAUAAUAUUUACGAUAAUUUUAUAGAGUAAAACAUACUAAAAUAUAUAAUUUUCAAGCAAAGUCGAUUAAAAAUUCUAAAAUUUAAAAUACGUAUUUAAUCGAAUAGUAUUCUUAAAAAUGGUCAAAGGUCGGUCAAAAUCGGGUGUCAACAGCUGCCCCUUGGUUGAUUGAGAAUGAAGAAUGAAUUGUCUGGCAACCAACGUUCACUUAGUAGCUGAUUUUGUCCGACCGAUGAGAGAUGUCAAUUGGAUCAAUUGAAACGAUAUAGAGUUGAAAAGGGUACGACCGAGACUUUGGUAUUAAGCCGCCUACAUAUCUCUGGUUAUACGAGAAUCAGGUCGUGUGUAGUUCUAGAUUUAAGAGCAAAUGAAACUCUUAAAAAUUGAAAGAGCGCUAAGAUAUUUGAAAGGCACGAUAUCGGCUUGAAUAGAUAAGAAUAGAGUAGCGAGAAGAGAGAGAUUGAGAGGCUAGAAGAGCGUGACAGAUAAGCAGGAAGAGCAUGAUAGAGUGAGGUUAUCAACAUUUGAGCACGGUUCAGAGUAUGAGUAGCAAAGAAUUGAUAGGGUCUUUGUUGCAAUGAUAGCAAAAUAAUUGUAAUCAAGGGGCGAUCGAUUAUAUCUGCAAAUUCUAGAUAAAGUGUUAGCUUAUGAAUAGAUAAAGUAUGACGAAUAAUGAUAAAAAUGAGUUCUAAAUAAAUGACAAGAGGUGAUAAGGAGCGUAUCUGCUUUGAGACGUAGUGCAAGCCUUGAUGGUCUUUGACUUCUUUAAGGAUUGAAAACCAUCUCUGAAGAAUAACGUCAAACUCCAAAAUAUUUGAUUGUAUAAACAUAUAAUAAUAUAAGCAAAAUGUCUGGUUGCAAGGAGAGUCUAAACGUCUUUUAAAUGCGGACGAGCCUAAACAUACUAUUUUAAGGCGGAAAAGCCUAGACAUCCUAUUAUAAGGCGGAAGAGCCUAAAUGUUGUAUUGUAAGGCAGACGAGCCUAAACAUCGUAUUGUAAGGCAGAUGAGCCUAAAUAUCCUAUUGUAAGGCGGAAGAGCCUAAAUAUCCUAUUGUAAGGCGGAAGAGCCUAAAUGUCAUAUUGUAAGGUAGACGAGCCUAAAUGUCGUAUUGUAAGGCAGACGAGCCUAAAUGUCGUAUUGUAAGGCAGACGAGCCUAAACAUCCUAUUGUAAGGCGGUAGAGACUAAAUAUCGUAUUAUAACAAGGUGGGAGAGCUUAAAUAUAUAUUCAGUCAGUCGCAGAAAAAAAUUUGAUAAUAGCCUCUUCAAAAAAUAAUCCGAGAAUAGUAUGACUUACAUAGUAGCUCCUAAAUAUGACAGUACACUCAUAUAUAAUUUAUUCCUGCAUCCAGAGAAAAUUCGUAAAUUCAAAAGGCGAGAGAUGGCCAUACCUGUGCUUGUUUUGCCUUUAGAGUUGCAAUCCCUUGUGAUGAAAUUUUUGAGGAUUUCUCAAAAAUUUCUGCCCCAGUUUAGAGUAUAAGAUAUAUACUCACUUUGUUAAAUAUCUCUCUAAAAUUUUUUGAGGUUUCCUCAAAAAUUCUGCCCCAUUUUAUUAGUGGGGGAAUUUUAAAUCCUGCUUCACUCAAAAAAAAUUGUAAGUUCCAAAAAAAAUGAUUGUCUUGUAUUUGGACAUUAAGGCUCGACUUCAAAUUCAAGUGUCAAUUAUGUUCAUGGAUUGUCAAUUAGUCUAGAUUUGAAUUUGUAAAGAAGUGUUUUGAAUGACCAUGGGAAAGAAAAAAAUUUAUUUGAUAGAGACCGGACCCAUCAAGGGUUGCCUACGUAUCCAAAAAGGAAAUCAGGUCAAACGUAGUUCAGAAUUACAAGGAAAAAUGAAAGGAAUGAGGAAAGCUUUGGGCAUAAGGUCGGAGAACAAUAAAGCCAACUUUGUUCAUAAGAGUCUUGUCCAUAUCAAUUUCUCUGAUGUGAUUUACGCUUUCUUGUCAAGUGCCUAACGUACAUCUUUGUAGGAUCUCCUUGAACGAUGAAUGUAUUCGCCAUAAAAGGAUUGCAAUUGUUGAUUUGUUGUCCUUGUUGCACUAUAAUUUUUCCUUUUUUAAUCAUAUUCUGAAUCUUAUUUCUCAAUGCUGCACAUUCUUCACUGUCAUGACCUUGAAUGUUUGAAUGAUAGGCACAAUUUUUGGAUAGAUCAAAGUUUGACGUAGAGUGCUUGGGAAUCUAUCCAUUUAUUGGUCUUAGAAGUCCUUUAGCGCAUAAUCUCUGGAAAAUGUCGGUCAAAGUUUCCCUUAAGGGAGUGAAGACACGAGGUUUCCUCACCUUAUGUUGAGAUACCUGAGGGUUGGAAGGCUCAAGACUAGCAUGAAUUUGCUCAAUAUUCUGAUUUCUUUGUUUCGGAGGUAUAUAGGUAGAUGCAUCUUCGUUCCUUUCAUCUAAUGAUUCUUUCAGGACUUGAAAAGAUUUUUGUGUAUCAGCAAUUCUUCCAGACUGAAUGCCAUAUUCUAACUCUUUUCCAAUUCGAAUUAGACUAUCGAAACUUUGAAUACCAGCAAAGAAUAGGGUUUUGUAGUAUAUACCCUCAAGUGAUCUGAUGAGAGUUUGGACCAACUCCUCUUCAUGCGUUAAGUGACGUAUCUUGGAGGCUUCCAUUCUCCAUCGUAUGGCAUAUUCCUCAAAAGAUUCAUGACUUAGUUUCAUCAAUUUGAUCAAAUUUAACAUUGUAGGGUCAACCUUCUUAUUAAACUUGUAUUGUUCCACAAAGUCUCGAGCCAUGUCUUCCCAUGCGAGCCAUUUGUAAAAGUCUUGUUUGACGUACCAAGUGAAAGCUAUUCCUGAUAAGCUUUGAAUAAAUAACCUCAUUAGGAGAGGUUCAUUGUUUUCUAAGCCAACUAGCCUGCUGCAAAAAUCUUUGAGAUGUGCCAUUGGAUCCCCACGUUCGUCGAACAUGUUGAAUUUUGGAAUUUUAAAUCCCGACGGUAAUUCAACUCCUGGGUGUAGACAUAAAUUUUUAUAUCUUAGGUCAUGAGUAGGUAUUGAAUGUAGUCCUCCAUUCACCCUCUUCUCCAAGUCAUGCAUUUUUCGUUGCAGUGCAUCUAGCUUACAUCUCUCUAUUUUGUCAUCUAUUCCCUCAUAUCCUGAAGCAUCAAAAUUGAGGUGUAUUGGAGACCUUUGUUGAGAGAGGGUGUGAGUAUGAAUAGGAUGAGGAGAGAUGGUCCAAAAGGUACUUUGUUUUGGACGAGAAGAUGAGUGAUUUUUUCGAAGGUUGAACAUAUUUGUCAUAUUGCAGAAUCUUAGUCGAGCCAAUUAUCCAAAUACUAGACAACCUUUAAUCAAUGAAAUAAAUCAAACACAAAACUGAGUUAUUAUAUAGUGAGCCAAAAUUAUAAUUUCAAAUGAAUGACACAAUAAGCUCAAAGUGGGACAAUUAUAACAGUUAAUAGAAUAAGGUCACAUAAUUGAUUCAAGUUAUACUUUGACAAUUUGAAGUUUUAGAGUCAAAGAAAGAUUUUAACUCCAUUUUGACAUAAUGACUUGAUUUAAAAUAUGAUGAUCAAAUUGACACAUAAAUAUGCAAUUUGUCUAAAGGGUGUUGGGGCCCUUUAGACAAUAGAGUGGCUACUAAUUAUAUGGAUUGACGCCAAGGGUCAAACAACCUAGGGUUUAUGCAGCAUGUAUGACCUAACAAGGACUUCUAAGAGUUGUCUCGACGCGGACUUGAAAGGAUUCUAUGCGAGAGGCUCGUGGUUUCGCGGUAGUAAAACUAUCCGUUACGUCCACGCAUAUGUCGACUCUCUAUAAUGGGUAUUUGAAUAGAAUUGGUGUAGUUGUGAGAGGUGCAAAGGCACAACAUCACGAAAAAAGGGGGAGAGUCCCAAUUGGGAGAGAUAUGAGCAGAAUGCCAGUUAUCAAAACAAUAAAUACUUAGCAUUUAAAUUGGAAAAUUGUACAUAUAAGCAUUUUAAAAAACAGUAAAUAAAUAAGUAAGCAUAAAUAAAUAAAGGUGUUAAAAAAUCACGCAAAUAAGAAAAGAAGGUAUGGGAUUAAAUGUAGUGAACAAAUAAGGGAAACGGGGGAAUGUGAAACAUGGUAAUAAACAAAUAAGAAGGGAGGAAAAGGGGUGAAACAUUAAACAAGACAACAAAAUGAUAACUAAAUAUGAUGAACACCAAGCAAAUAAUGAAAUAAAUAAUAUAAAGUAAACCCCACAUAAAUAAACAUGAAACACGUAAUGGUAAGAACCUAAUAUCCCCAGCGGAGUCGUCAUUCUGUCGCGCCCCAUUUUUCGCAGAAAACGGGUUUUGUGCGCGACCUAACAACUCUUUUGGGAUUUUCGAGUUUGGAGUCGCCACCUAAUGAAUUAAGGCGCGUUAGGGCACCUAUAUAACCUAAAUAAGUCUAACUAAGGUCAACGAGCCAGAGAUUAGGGUGAGGGUUCAAAUUACCUCGAGGGGAAGGUGUUAGGCAUCCCUCGAGGUCCACAAGCAUGGGUCCCGGCCUAUCUCAUGCAAUCUAUGUGGGGGUUACAAGUAGCAAUCAAGGUCACUUCAUUAUUAUUUAUUAAUAUGCUUGCUAAGUGAUAACAAGUAUAAAGCAAUUAAGGCUAUUUUGUUAAUUUAAACAUGUGAGGCUAGAUGACAGCAAUAAUAAGCAAUCAAGUUUAUUUUAUAUUUUUUUUAAUUUAUUUUAACAUACGAGGCUAUGUUAUAGACAAAAUUGGCAAAUAUUAAGCAAUUAAUAUGUGGAAGUAAAGUUUGAAAAAUGUAGCAAGUUUUGAAUAUGAAAUUUUUAUUUUUUAAAAAAAUGUUUGUUUCUUUAUAGGGAUGAUGUCAUGAUAUUGUUGAUCGUGCUUCUCCACCAUAGAAACAAUUUUGAUCUGAGGUCGGUCUAAAAAAUAGUUUAUGUUUUUGAAAAAAAAUGAUUUAAAAGAUUUAGUUUACAUGUAGGCACAUAAAUAUUUACACAUAAAUGCACAUAAUUCUUUUUGAAAUUCAUGGGUAGGUGGUACUUCCGAGGAUGCGUCGGGUUUAAAAAUUGAAACUAGACCUCGUAGUUCCUUUGACUUUCCCACUAACGAUAGGUUAGGAGAUAGUGUUUAUAAUUUAUUUUUAAAAUAAACAAUGUCAAAAUCAAUCCAAAGUUUUAAAGGAAGAUUGAAUAAUGACUUUUUAAAAAAAUUAUGUUACAAGGUUUUGAUAUGAAAUAUUUUUAAAGCCAAGUUAAAUGCAUGAAAUGAUUCUAAAUUAGUAUUAUUAAAAAAAUAUUGCAUCAUGAAUGCGGAAAACAAAUAAGAUUACUAGUUAAAUAAUAUUAACUAAUUUUAGGGGGGGGGGGGCUCAAUAUGCACAAACAAAUUUUAUUUUUUAUGGAUAUGCUGAAAGUUUAUUUACAACCCUAUAGACAUGAUUUCUAGGUGUUAAAAAAAAAAGAAACAUAUAGCAUGAUUUUGUAAAUGAUAUGAACAAUUUAAUACUUAGGCAUAGUUUCUACGUGAUAAGACAAAUGAAAAUUUAUAAUAUACUUUUAACAUAUAACAACCUACUAGAUUAUUAGGAUUUGAUUUUAACAUUUAAAAAAUUAAUGGAAUCUAGUUAUUAUUUUUUUAAGACUUAUUAACAAAAGCGUCAAGCAAAUUGAAAAUUGAUUAAAUUAUAACACCUACAAAUAUCAAAUCUAGGUGGUUAAAGACAAACCUAGGCAUGAUUUCUAAAAAAAUUAUAAUGAACAAAUAAGCACAUAAAUCCCCCUCCCCUAGACGACCCCCCAAAUAAAUUUAUAUAUAUGAUCUUUUAGAGUUACAAUUGUUACAACAUUCGAAUAAAUAAAAUAGGCAGAAAAUAAAAUAUAUAUAUACAUUCAAAUAAAUAAAUAAAUCUUUCUUCAAUUAAUCUUCAACUUGAACUUCAAGUUUGAAACCUGUCAAAGUAAUCAAAUAACUACACAAGUAAUCACACUUAUUAGUCAAGGUAAGACAAUAUUCAAUUAUUUAAUGACGAAUUCUACAUAUAAAAAAAGGACAAUAGCUUACACAAAUAUGUGAAUGUGAAGACAGUAUAAAUACUAAGAAUACUAACCGGUUAAGCAAAACAAAUUGAUUCAACUUUUAAAGUAGCAAAAUAGCGAAGAAGAACACUUGAAUAUUUACCGGAAUAUUAAUGUGUUGUUAAAGUAGCAAGAGAGCAAUGAGAGAAUUUGUGAUUGAAAGUGAAUGAGUGUGUGAAUUGAUGAGUUUUUUGUAUGUAUGAGCAAUGAGAGAAUGAGAAAGUUUAAGAAUAAUGUAGCAUUUGUGGUAAGAAAGUAAGAAUGAGUUAGAGAAUGUGAGUUCUUUUCAAAGAUGUCAAUGUGUAUGAAAGGAGGGGAGGGAGUCCUAUUUAUAUAGCAAAUAAGGGGGAGCACAAUAAUGGAAAUAAAAUAAAUCAAGGAGUUAAUUAUAAUACUAUUUCCUUAUUUUCAAGGAGAGCCAAAAUCAGAAAAUUAUAAGAAUAUUUCAUCACCAAAAAUAAAAUAAGUACAAAUAAUCUUUUACCUUGAAUAAGGAAGAGACAAAAUCAAAUUUUUUAUUAAAAAUCUAUUACCAAAUAUAAACAUAUAAGAGUAAAAUAUUUCCCUUAAAUAAAGAAGAGUCAAAUAUAAUUUUACCAAAAAUAAACAAGUAAGAAAUCAGUAAAUUUAUACAUAAGAAAAAAAAGAUCAAUUAACUUAUUAUUAUUAUUUUAUUUUUUAUUUUUUUAAAUUAUUAUUAUUACUUUACCAAAUAUAUGAGCAACUAAAUUUGACAAGGAAAUAGUUUAAGGUCAAACAUUUACCUAAUAAUAAAUUACCAUAAAUAAAUAUGUAAGAAUCAAUCUAGGCAAACAUUAAAGGAAAAAGAAAUCAACUAAUAUUUCUCAUUUUAAGAGAGCUAACUCAAUAACAAAUAUUUUCAGAAUGAGUAAAUAUUUUUCCAAAAAUAAACAAGUGAGAAACUUUUUCCUUAUUUUUUCAUCUUAUCACAUGAGCAAAGAUUUAUCCAUCAAGUUAAACAUGUUCUAACAUGUAGGAACAAUCAAUCAUAAUAAAAUAACGUACUUACGAUUAUUUUCAUUCAUGAAAUCAAAUAUACUCAAAAAAAAUAAUUUUAUAAUGAUAUUGACCCAUUAUUAAAUAAUCUAUUUUCAUAAGCAAGCUAAAUUCACCAAUUAACAUUUAAGGAGGGACAAUAUGCAAGAUUCUCAACCAACUUAAUGAAUUUGAGCACUAGAAAAUUAACACAAAUACAAAAAUCAAAUAAUUAUCAAUCCCAAGAGAUUAACUAUACGGAUCAAUGCAUAUUUUAAACACCAAAGUUAUAAUAAGCAUAUUACAAUAAAAGAAAAAUAUGAUGAAAACCCAAACGGAGAGAAUUGGAUAGACAAAGUAAUAAUGGAUAAAAGAAAUACCAAAGAUGGAUCUAAAUAGAUCCAUCCGAAUUUUGCCUUCGCCGGAGGUCGAUCCUGCUGAAAAUCAGAGAAGAGAGGGGGAGGGUCGAGGUCGCCUGGCUGCUCGCUGAGGCUGUCUUGUGGCUGCUGGAACGAUGGGAGAGAGGGGCACUGCCAGCGGCUGCUGGCUGGUGGUUCCGCGCUUGCUGCUGCUGGUCGGAAAGGCUGCCUGUCGUUGUUUGAUGCAGCUGCUGGUAGCUUGCGAAAAAAUAGAAGAGAAAGGAGAAGAGGAAGGGGCGAUAAGAGACGGGAGGGGAGAGAGGAGAAGAGGAAGGGGCGAUAAGAGACGGGAGGGGAGAGAGGAGAAGAGGAAAGAAAGGGGCGGCUGCUACCACUCGGAGGUGGCGAUUCCCACCGGAAAGAAUGGAAGGAGAGAGAGGCGGCUGGAGGUAUGGGUGAGGGAGGACAAAAAAGGAGAAGAAGAGGGAGGAGAGGAGAGGGAAGACGACAAGAGAGAGGGGCGUCACUGCCUCGCUUGGGGUUGACGAUUUCCACCGAAAAGAAUGGAGAGAGAGAGGUGGGGCUGCUGGAGAGAGUAGGAGAGGUUUUUUUUUUUUUUG
This 10545-nucleotide long non-coding RNA is filed under the name Solanum lycopersicum (tomato). Its description in RNAcentral is "long non-coding RNA (SLYC_LNC000794)". Lineage: Eukaryota; Viridiplantae; Streptophyta; Magnoliopsida; Solanales; Solanaceae. The record is from RNAcentral.